AGCAGCAGCCGCCGCCGACUGAGGAGCCGCAGCCAGGGAGCCAGCCAGCGCCGCCCAGUGCCGAGUGCGCAGCGGCCGCGCACGGAAACAGCCGAGCUAGGCCCGGAGCAGCUCGAGCGGCCCCGCCCCCGCGCUGGGGACGGAACUUGCCGAAGACCUUCGGGUUUCUUCGGGCGACGAGAAGGGGUUCCGCGGGGAGAGGGAAGGCGAAGGCGGGCUGAGCCCGGCGCCGGGAGGAGUGGUCUAAACUCCACCGCGGCUUUCGCAUCGGAGACGUGUCUUUAGGAAGCAGAGAGGGUUCGAUUCUGGACUCCGCCCAUGACUCACUUCUCUUGUAAAGAAAGAGUUGUCCUUCCUGGUACUCCAGGUUUAUGGGAUGCAGGAUAAUGGAGCAUGCUCUAUCUGGGACAUUGCUAGUCUUAUGACAGAGGGAGAAGACAGCGAUGGUAACUUUGCUGGGACUAUGAUAGAAUCAUGAAAUCAUCCAGGCCUUUAAAAAUGUUCAUCACAACAUUUAAUCUGGACAUCAUUUGUAGCAAUUACCACCAUUUCAGUUUUAUACAACACCAUGAAAGGGCUCAGCUGGCAGUAGUUUUCGAAGAACUCCAGGAAGUGGCUGCAGAGCAAAGUAGGAUCCUGAUACUGAUCACACUUUUGUCAAGAAGCCAAAGAACAAAGUUGAUUAAAGCAUUAUGCCUGGAAAUAAAGGGGAACAGGACAUCAGCAAAAUUCUUUUUAUCCAUUCACACAUUGAAGACAUGUAAGAUCAAUGACACACAAAAUGGAAGAGAAAUCUUAAUCACACGUGUGAAGACUAGCAGGUAUUUUUUUCCUGUGCACAUCAACGGGCUGUAUUGUGGCAUAUACAUGAAAGGGUGAAGUGCUUGAUGUCUUUAGUUUAUGUUUUCCUAAAACUCCAUGCUACUAGGAG
Molecule: long non-coding RNA, 931 nt
Filed under: Homo sapiens (human)
Lineage: Eukaryota; Metazoa; Chordata; Mammalia; Primates; Hominidae
Description: HSALNT0308513
Source: RNAcentral